GCAGGCGCUGCCGGGAACGCCGGAGCGAGGAGCGUGUGGCCUUAAGUGGAAGAUUACCUGUAAUGGCAAGAAGUCAGCUGAAGGUGGCCACAGAGAGAAGGGAGUGGGCCUGGAUCUCCCCCAGCCUUCUCCGGCCUCUUCCCAGAGUGGGAAGGAAGGGAGGAAAGCUAGUAAGGCAUGAAGCUUUGGGAACCUUCUCCGCAGCUGGGCAAGACCAGAGAUUGUUCAGUCACCUGGAGGAAGAGAUGCUGGCAAUUUGGCAGUUCAAAUCUCACCAGGGUCAAGGUUGACUCAGUCUUCCAUCCUUCCGAGGUUGUGUGAAUCGAAUUCCCGAGGUCCAGGACAGCGUCUGAAGUCAAAUGCACCAUAAGUCCCUAAAUUUGAUCAAUAAAAUAAGCGA
This is a non-coding RNA of Pantherophis guttatus, 400 nucleotides long. NCBI's taxonomy places the organism in Eukaryota, Metazoa, Chordata, Lepidosauria, Squamata, Colubridae. The record is from RefSeq and is a predicted model, not a curated record.